UAAUCAGCAGAUGAAUCAGAGCGAACGGAAUCAUCAGCUGCAGUCAAAAUGAGCUGCGGCUCAACAGGAAACUCCUGCUGGAGUCACAGCCAGCUGAUCUGAGGUCAGACAGGACAGGACAGGACAACAGGGGACACGUUACUGCGUACUGAGGAGCGAAGUCGCCAGCUGAGACUGUGUGUGUCCGGCUCGUCCCUCGGCGUUACGCCCGCACCCGAGACGCCAGGUGCAGCGCCCGGGCCGGGUUACACCUGUGGUGCAGUGACCCGGAUCGUGGCGCUUCGAGACCGAAGAGAAAGUGAAGCUGUCGGCAGCAGGCGGCAACCUCCACUGCGUUACUGACCAAGUAGGAAAAGAGAGGGAAAAUUUAAAGCUACUUGAAUGCCAGCAGUUUCUCCACCAGUUCAAGGAGAGCCGUCCAGUGUGGUACACUGCUCUAUUGGAGAUUGGGGCGCAGAACAUCGAACCCCCUCUUGAUUUAUCUGGGUGACCUCAUCAUAUUCUCCAAAACCUUUGAUGAGCAUCUGGAGAGACUGCAACAGGCGUUUGAUUGGCUUCACGAGCACGGCUUGAAGUUGAAACCCCCCAAGUGCCAGAUGUUGAGACAGGAAGUGCAGUGUCUGGGUCACUUGGUGUCUGCUGGGGGAGUCCGGACCGACCCAGAGAAGAUCAGCAGGGUUAAGGACUGGGCAAGGCAAAUGAACCGCAAGGAAGUGCUGCAAUUCCUGGGGUUCACUGGAUUCUACAGGCAGUAUGUGAAUGGAUACUCUGCCCUAGCUGCUCCCUUAUACCGCCUCACUGCUGGCAACCCCAGAAAGAAAAAAAGGGGCAGGAAGAAAAGCCAGGCACCUGACCUACCCUUUCUGUGGACUGAUGAUUGUGAGGAGGCUUUUCAGACCCUGAAAGAAAGGCUGACGACUGCUCCAGUGCUGAGCUGUCCUGAUUACAGCCUGUCUUUUGUCAUUCAGACAGAUGCCACAGGGGGGAGACAAAACAAAACAGGAGAUCCGUGCGGUGCAGGAGGAAGAUCCUGUAAUCGGCCCCGUCUUGCACUAUAAGAGUCUGAGCCAGAAACCAAGCCGCAGCAAGAGGAUCAGUGGCGGUGAGCAUGUGUGCCUUCUCUUGAAGGAGUGGAGGAGGUUAGUAAUUACAGAUGGUAUUAUGCACUGCUGCGUCCAUGACUGCCAAAAGGGAGAGAGAAAGAGAAGCUGCGUGAAUCAGUCAAGACGGCUCUUCACAAUGACUCAGGGACUUAGGUUUUGAGAGGACUGUGCAGAUGAUAAGAGAGAGAUUUCAUUGGCCACGGAUGUUCCAGGAGAUAAAGGCGUGGUGCGAGCAGUGUGAGAGAUGCUGCCUCAGAAAAACCUGCAGGUGUCGGUGUGGACUUUCUGACUUUGGAGAAGUCGAAGGGCGGCAUCAAAAAUGUCCUCAUCAUCACUGACCACUUCUCACGCUACGCACAGGCAUACCCCACUAUAGACCAAAAGGCCAACAUGGUGGCCAGAGAGCUGUGGGGAAACUUCUGUCGGUUUGGUUUCCCUUUGAAAUUGCAUGCAGACCAAGCGCACAGUUUUGAAAGUGAUGGAGCUGUGCAGGUGUACUGGCAUCACCAAGACUCACACAACCCGCUAUCACACCUAGAGCAAUGGAACUACUUAGAGGUUCAACCACACCCUCAUGAAUAUGCUUGGGACAGCGGAGCCUCACCUGAAGCCCCGGUGGCACGAGUAUGUGGAUGCAGUGACGCACGCCUACAACCACACACACUGUGAUUCUACUGGAUACACACCGUACUAUCUGAUGUUUGGCAGACAUCCCAGGCUCCCUGUUGACCUGAUCUUUGGGCUCCAGGCCACUAAAGAGCCAUGUGAAUAUAGGGAGUAUGUCCAGACUCUGCAUGACAAGUGGGGACAUAUGUUGUGGUGAAGAAGCAGCCCAGCAUAACUGUGUAUGUGGUGCAGUCAGAAAAUGGUGACACAGAGAGGGUGGUCCACCGCAGUCUCCACACACAGUGUUUGUUUCUUCCAGUGGAGCAGGCUGGUGAGGCGGCAAGAGGGGAGGUUGAGCCAGACACAGCAGAGGACAUGGAGAUGGAGGACACAGAGGACAUGGGGAGCAGGUCGGUGAAGUGACAAUACAGGGAGAUGAGUCAGACACAGUGGAGGACUUGGAGGAAAAUGUGGAGAAGUGUUUACCGCAGACAGCAGGCGAACAGUUUGAACGCACAGGAAUGGAGGAAAUGGAUGUGGAGACAAUACAAGUGAGUGUAGGAGGAGAGCAACAUGUAACGGCCAGGAGCACCAACUCGCCUCCCAGGCCCAAUGUUCCAAGGAGGAACUCGCCCAGAAAUCCACGUCCCCCCAAGAAACUGUCCUAUGAGUCACGAGCCGUGUAAUCAGAGGAGGACCAAUGGAAGUUGUGGCAGAGGGCCAAAGCAAGAAGAGCAGCUGGACACAUACAGCAUAAAAAAAAGCAAGUGCACCCAGGUUAAUAUGAGCCGUGAAGUCAGUUCUCUGAAACACCACAUGGGGGCAGUAGAACAGCUAGUUUAAAUGUCACUUUCCAGCAGUAGGUCAGCAUUACUCAGAGUAAACAAAUGCAGAUCAUUUUAGGAUUCAGUGUUAACGUGGAUCUGCCAGAGCAGGAAGAACACAGAGGAAUUACAAGUUUGGACCAAGUGACGUCUGACCUCAUAGCUGAUCCCUGAUCAGUUGGGCUGUUAAACCUCCUUAAUCCAUCAGGAAACCUGCACAGUAUGCCAGGCCAGCACGUCUGAUGGCAAACCAGCAGUACUGACGCUCUGAAGCAGGAAAAGUUCAAAGCAGCUGCUCUCCAGCAGGUCGACCAGCUCAGCCUGGUCCUGCUGCACUGCGUUGUGGUCCCCCUCCUCGCGUGUCCACUGAUUCGUUAGCUGCUCCAGCUAGCAGAUGACUCCUCCCCUUGGAGAUUCCACCAUGUCCGGUUGGCUGGAAAACGGCCUGGGACUCAAAAACCUCACACCUGCCUCACCCGCUCCCGGCCCAUCGUCCUUCUCCGUCCUGGCACGCAUCCUGCCCGAUGCCGACAGCAGCCGGACAUCAGAGUGUGCGUUGGCCACCGUGUGCCGCCGCACGCCGCCAGACUUCUCCAGGUACGCCUCGCCCUCCUGCUCCACCAGUGGGGCCAGAGACGACGAGUCGGACGAGUUGUGAUGCUGAGUGACGGUGAUUUCCGGCUGGGACUGGUCGCCUAGCAACGAGCCUGACGUGCGCAGAUGGCGGGAUUCUGGAUGAGGAGACAGGAAAUCGACACCAUCUCAGACAACUUUUACGGACUACACUGCAGCAGCUUUUUGUGAAGCUACCACUAAAUCUGCAGAUGUACGUGUAGGUGUCUACACCUCCUGAUGGCUGCGCUGCAUGUCCUGCACCAUCUGGAGCAUCGGCACACAAGGUGCAAUACACCCCUGACCAGUGAGGGCAGUGUUGGGUCAUCUGUGUGACGUGACAAUGAGUCAAGGACAAAUAAAACUUCCUUUUUCUGC
Scatophagus argus is the source of this 3523-nucleotide long non-coding RNA. RefSeq lists it as uncharacterized. NCBI's taxonomy places the organism in Eukaryota, Metazoa, Chordata, Actinopteri, Scatophagidae. The transcript is spliced from 7 exons. The record is from RefSeq and is a predicted model, not a curated record.